AACGAACGCUGGCGGCAUGCCUAACACAUGCAAGUCGAACGAGACCUUCGGGUCUAGUGGCGCACGGGUGCGUAACGCGUGGGAACCUGCCCUUAGGUUCGGAAUAACUCCCCGAAAGGGGUGCUAAUACCGGCUAAUGUCUUCGGACCAAAGAUUUAUCGCCUUUGGAUGGGCCCGCGUUGGAUUAGCUAGUUGGUAGGGUAAAAGCCUAACAAGGCGACGAUACAUAGCUGGUCUGAGAGGAUGAUCAGCCACACUGGGACUGAGACACGGCCCAGACUCCUACGGGAGGCAGCAGUGGGGAAUAUUGGAAAAUGGGCGAAAGCCUGAGCCAGCAAUGCCGCGUGAGUGAUGAAGGCCUUAGGGUUGUAAAGCUCUUUUACCCGGGAUGAUAAUGACAGUACCGGGAGAAUAAGCUCCGGCUAACUCCGUG
Molecule: ribosomal RNA, 433 nt
Filed under: uncultured bacterium
Lineage: Bacteria
Description: partial 16S ribosomal RNA
Rfam family: Bacterial small subunit ribosomal RNA
Source: RNAcentral